AGGAAGGAAGGAAGAGGUGGAGGAAGAUAAGAAUAGGAGGAGAAGAAACAAGGAAUGAAGAGAAAAAAAAGAACUCCCUGAACUGCGACCUCACUGUGAUCCAAGAGGAGGUGGCCACUGAACACUUGAGGAAAGUCAAGUCAAGAGUCCCUGAAUGCUGCUAAGGAGACACACUGCUGCCAGGAACAAUGCACCAUCAAGCUAAGCCAAGCCAAGCCACGCCACAACACAGCACAAGCCUUCUACAAGACCUGGAGCCAUCAACAACACCCAGAGUAACACACAACACCUGGAGCCAUGAAGAACAGUUAGGAUAGGUUAGGCAGUUUGGCAUGUUUUUUUUUAGGGCAUUUUAAGACAAGUUUGGCAUGUUUUUCAGGGCAUUUUAAGACAGUUUGGC
Molecule: long non-coding RNA, 400 nt
Organism: Portunus trituberculatus (swimming crab)
Lineage: Eukaryota; Metazoa; Arthropoda; Malacostraca; Decapoda; Portunidae
Exons: 3
Source: RefSeq, a predicted model, not a curated record